GACGAACGCUGGCGGCGUGCUUAACACAUGCCAGUCGAACGGAAAGGCCCUGCUUUUGUGGGGUGCUCGGGUGGCGAACGGGUGAGUAACACGUGAGUAACCUGCCCUUGACUUUGGGAUAACUUCAGGAAACUGGGGCUAAUACCGGAUAGGAGCUCCUGCUGCAUGGUGGGGGUUGGAAAGUUUCGGCGGUUGGGGAUGGACUCGCGGCUUAUCAGCUUGUUGGUGGGGUAGUGGCUUACCAAGGCUUUGACGGGUAGCCGGCCUGAGAGGGUGACCGGCCACAUUGGGACUGAGAUACGGCCCAGACUCCUACGGGAGGCAGCAGUGGGGAAUAUUGCACAAUGGGCGGAAGCCUGAUGCAGCAACGCCGCGUGCGGGAUGACGGCCUUCGGGUUGUAAACCGCUUUCGCCUGUGACGAAGCGUGAGUGACGGUAAUGGGUAAAGAAGCACCGGCUAACUACGUG
RNAcentral lists this ribosomal RNA (468 nucleotides) under uncultured bacterium. RNAcentral's name for it is "partial 16S ribosomal RNA". It matches the Rfam family "Bacterial small subunit ribosomal RNA", at positions 28 to 507 of the family's 1533-position model. The record is from RNAcentral.